Molecule: unclassified non-coding RNA, 549 nt
Filed under: Neopyrenochaeta inflorescentiae
Lineage: Eukaryota; Fungi; Ascomycota; Dothideomycetes; Pleosporales; Neopyrenochaetaceae
Description: sequence contains ITS1, 5.8S rRNA gene and ITS2
Rfam family: 5.8S ribosomal RNA (bases 197-350)
Source: RNAcentral
AAGUCGUAACAAGGUUUCCGUAGGUGAACCUGCGGAAGGAUCAUUAUCAAAUGCUUUAAGAAGUCUAAACAACUUCUUACUGUUCACCCUUUGUCUUUUGCGUACUGUAUGUUUCCUCGGUGGGUUCGCCCGCCGAUAGGACAUUUAAAACCCUUUGUAGUUGCAAUCAGCGUCAGAAAAAAACUAUAAUAGUUACAACUUUCAACAACGGAUCUCUUGGUUCUGGCAUCGAUGAAGAACGCAGCGAAAUGCGAAAAGUAGUGUGAAUUGCAGAAUUCAGUGAAUCAUCGAAUCUUUGAACGCACAUUGCGCCCCUUGGUAUUCCAUGGGGCAUGCCUGUUCGAGCGUCAUUUGUACCCUCAAGCUCAGUCUUGGUGUUGGGUGUUUGUCCUGCCCUCGCGGCGGACUCGCCUUAAAGUGAUUGGCAGCCGGAAUAAUUCUGGGGAACGCAGCACAACUGCAGCCUCUAGUCUUAUACGCCGAGCGUCCAACAAGCCUUUUAUUCUUGCGUUUGACCUCGGAUCAGGUAGGGAUACCCGCUGAACUUAA